GAUGCAAGCGUUAUCCGGAAUGAUUGGGCGUAAAGGGUCCGCAGGUGGCAGUGUAAGUCUGCUGUCAAAGAAUGAGGCUUAACCUCAUCAAGGCAGUGGAAACUACACAGCUAGAGUACGGUCGGGGUAGAAGGAAUUCCUGGUGUAGCGGUGAAAUGCGUAGAGAUCAGGAAGAACACCGGUGGCGAAAGCGUUCUGCUAGGCCGCAACUGACACUGAGGGACGAAAGCUAGGGGAGCGAAUGGG
Molecule: ribosomal RNA, 246 nt
Filed under: uncultured bacterium
Lineage: Bacteria
Description: partial 16S ribosomal RNA
Rfam family: Bacterial small subunit ribosomal RNA
Source: RNAcentral